AAAAUAUUUCUUGUUAUUCCGCUCUUCUUCUUUCCUCUCAUGAUCGCCAAUUUCCUCUACUAUUCCAUCUCACAUUAACCAGAUAGACAUGUUGGGCAGAUUGAUGGGUGUUGGCACGAGGUCUUUGGCGUAUGAUUGUGAUGAUAUUGUGGCACGAGAUCGUUGUCAUGUGAUUGUGAUAAUAUUGUGGCGCAAGGUGUUUGCCAUGCGAUUGUGAUGAUAUUGUGGCAUGAGAUCUAGGUGUUGGAGAUAACACAUUUCGAGAAAGAGCUUUUGUCUGUUUGAGAGGAUUCAAGUUAGUGCUGCAUGGACGCCGCAGA
Molecule: long non-coding RNA, 320 nt
Organism: Nicotiana tabacum (common tobacco)
Lineage: Eukaryota; Viridiplantae; Streptophyta; Magnoliopsida; Solanales; Solanaceae
Source: RefSeq, a predicted model, not a curated record